CAUAGCCGCGGGAAUACGGAGGGUGCAAGCGUUAAUCGGAAUUACUGGGCGUAAAGCGCACGCAGGCGGUUUGUUAAGUCAGAUGUGAAAUCCCCGAGCUUAACUUGGGAACUGCAUUUGAAACUGGCAAGCUAGAGUCUUGUAGAGGGGGGUAGAAUUCCAGGUGUAGCGGUGAAAUGCGUAGAGAUCUGGAGGAAUACCGGUGGCGAAGGCGGCCCCCUGGACAAAGACUGACGCUCAGGUGCGAAAGCGUGGGGAGCAAACAGGAUUAGAUACCCCAGUAGUCCCUGUCUCUUAUACA
Molecule: ribosomal RNA, 301 nt
Filed under: uncultured bacterium
Lineage: Bacteria
Description: partial 16S ribosomal RNA
Rfam family: Bacterial small subunit ribosomal RNA
Source: RNAcentral